CCCUUAGAUGUUCUGGGCCGCACGCGCGCUACACUGAUGCAUUCAACGAGCCUAUCCUUGACCGACAGGUCCGGGUAAUCUUUGAACCUGCAUCGUGACGGGGAUAGAUUAUUGCAAUUAUUAAUCUUCAACGAGGAAUGCCUAGUAGGCGCAAGUCAUCAGCUUGCGUCGAUUACGUCCCUGCCCUUUGUACACACCGCCCGUCGCUCCUACCGAUUGGGUGUGCUGGUGAAAUGUUCGGAUCGGCCGUUUGUCGCGGUUUCCGCGGCUCGUGGCUGAGAAGUUCAUUAAACCCUCCCACCUAGAGGAAGGAGAAGUCGUAACA
RNAcentral lists this ribosomal RNA (325 nucleotides) under uncultured eukaryote. Its description in RNAcentral is "partial 18S ribosomal RNA". It matches the Rfam family "Eukaryotic small subunit ribosomal RNA", at positions 1470 to 1796 of the family's 1831-position model. The record is from RNAcentral.